UACAGAGAGUGCGAACGUUGUUCGGAAUUACUGGGCUUAAAGCGCACGUAGGCGGCAUCGUAAGUGUCCGGUGAAAUCCCACGGCUCACCCGUGGAACUGCCUGGCAGACUGCGAUGCUCGAGUGUGGUAGGGGAGAGCGGAACUCCUGGUGGAGCGGUGAAAUGCGUAGAUAUCGGAAGGAACAUCAGUGGCGAAAGCGACUUCCUGGACCAGUACCGACGUUCAGGCACGAAAGCGUGGGGAGCAAACAGG
RNAcentral lists this ribosomal RNA (253 nucleotides) under uncultured bacterium. RNAcentral's name for it is "partial 16S ribosomal RNA". It matches the Rfam family "Bacterial small subunit ribosomal RNA", at positions 524 to 776 of the family's 1533-position model. The record is from RNAcentral.